Homo sapiens (human) is the source of this 1741-nucleotide long non-coding RNA. Ensembl annotates it as small nucleolar RNA host gene 5. Its record names the gene SNHG5. Lineage: Eukaryota; Metazoa; Chordata; Mammalia; Primates; Hominidae. The record is from Ensembl.
GCUGCGCACUUCGGUCUUUUACGUCGGCCUUCGCGAGCGUCUGGGCGGGUGGUAGGUGAGUGGGUAUUGCGGGCUAGUAUCCGAGCAAAAGAUGGUGGCGCAGGCCGAGUUAAGAGCUUUAAUCCUGUGAAGACAUCUUAGUGAAGAGUUUAGAGUGCUGAGAGUUGAAAGCUUGCACGUGGGAAACGUGCGGCCGGACUGCCACAUGUACUGAGGUUGAGUCGUGACGGCCACAGGCUCCGAGUUUUGGCGUGAGGAACCGCUGAUCGGCCACGGGCGCCGAACUUGCUGGCCUCCGGCAUGUGCCUGAGCGGCGGCGGAAAAACCACCUUAAUUGGGGCGGAGGGUUAGUUUUAACAGCAAAGGGCCUUUACUAAAAUGGCGAAGGCCUUCCGUCGGCGUUGUUUUAAAAUGGGAAGCCUCGACCCUGUAUUGAAACUGAGCUGUUCGAAGGCGGCGUUGUGUGCAAUUCGGAUUAAUGAAGGGGAAGGGUUUUGUGUGGAAAAACGCCUUGGAGUGUGACAUUUCUGCGAGAAUGCUUAAAUACCGAUUUCCCGCAGGAACAAUGGCGCUGUCUUCAGUGGCACAGUGGAGCAGCUCUGAAGAUGCAAAGGUAAGAGCUUAGUUAAGCUUAGUUUCCAAACUAAAGGAGUAAACCUGUUGAUUUACAGGAAUAGGAACUGUUGCAUCGUUUGAAAUUUACUUUUUUUUGUUAGAUACACGAAAAAACUUCCAGAACAUCUGGGAGAAUAUUUAAUGGAAAAUCGCUUGGUUAAAACCUGACACUUUUAACAGGUAUGUGUUGUUUUAGUACUUUAUGAUUGAGCAUAGCAUUUAAUCCACACCUAGACUAAAUCAAAUUUUUUUUGUCAGUGAACAGCGUUCUGAGUGUGGACGAGUAGCCAGUGAAGAUAAUGAAUGUCGAAUGUGACUGACUAGCAGCUUCAUUUUGAAGUAGGUUGUAUGGCUUAAAAGUUCUGUAGUAUUUGUACUAUAAUACUUGCCUUUUAGCAUUACCUUGGUUUGUAGUCAGUGUCACAGAAGUGCAGUUUAAUGUAUUAUGUGUACAUAUACAAGGUCUGAUUGGUCUAAUCAAUGAUGAAACCUAUCCCGAAGCUGAUAACCUGAAGAAAAAUAAGUACGGAUUCGGCUUCUGAGAUUAAGACCAGUAAUUCAGAGGUGGAGUAAAUUUUGUUGCCGUGAUUUUAUAACAGUUGUGUUAUAAAAUCCUGGGUUUUUUUUUUUUCUGCCAACAGUGAGGGUCGCUGUCUGCCCAUUGAUAGAGGCCAGAUUGUCUUGGAAGUUCCAAAGUUGCAACGAUUUCUGGCUAGUGCCACGAGGUUUACUUGACUGUUGUGUGAAAAGCUGAUAAGAAAACCAUCCAGAAAAAAGCUCUUCGUUUUACAAACAUGAAAAUAAAACAUGUAAUUUUGGAUUAUGUUCCUUUUUGUUAUUACUUUUAAAUAGGUCCUGAAAUAACAUGGGGAGCAUUAAAUGGAAAAUCCACUAACCAGCCUUGUAAUCAAAUUACUGUGAGUGAAUGUUUCGGGUUUGUGCAGGGUACAAUGUAAGGGUUUUUGGAUCAGUGUAAGAGUGGAGAGACAGGAAUUAGAAGUAAUUGUUACUAAGCAAAUCAUGGAAUAUUUAGUUUUGAUGUAACUAUAAUUUUGAAAGCCUGGAUGCUUAAGUUGAGAAAUGGGGGAAUGAGAUACAGAAAAUAAGGAGCACAAUAGAAUAAUAA